GACGAACGCUGGCGCGCGCCUAACACAUGCAAGUCGAACGGAGAUAAGGAGGAGCUUGCGUCCACCUUAUCUGAGUGGCGGACGGGUGAGUAACGCGUGAGUAACCUGCCUUAAAGAGGGGGAUAACGUCUGGAAACGGACGCUAAUACCGCAUGACAUACGGACAUGGCAUCAUGAUCGUAUCAAAGGAGCAAUCCGCUUUAAGAUGGACUCGCGUCCAAUUAGCUAGUUGGUGAGGUAACGGCCCACCAAGGCGACGAUUGGUAGCCGGACUGAGAGGUUGAACGGCCACAUUGGGACUGAGACACGGCCCAG
This 315-nucleotide ribosomal RNA is filed under the name uncultured bacterium. RNAcentral describes it as "bacterial SSU rRNA". It matches the Rfam family "Bacterial small subunit ribosomal RNA", at positions 28 to 334 of the family's 1533-position model. The record is from RNAcentral.